Molecule: long non-coding RNA, 975 nt
Filed under: Heterocephalus glaber (naked mole-rat)
Lineage: Eukaryota; Metazoa; Chordata; Mammalia; Rodentia; Bathyergidae
Description: lncRNA (ENSHGLG00100035964.1)
Source: RNAcentral
UAACUUUUUCUAUGUUGUACUGUUAUAAGAACUAGGAAUUUUUAACCUUACCUCUCAAGCUACUCCUAAUUUUCUUUCAUUAUAUUUGCUCUUGUGAUCUAUAUUUUGCUUCAAUGAAUCCUCCCACCAGUCCAUUACUGUUUUCCUUUUUAUUCUCAUAGCAAAACCUAUGUUAAGUGAUUUUUUUUUUGUACUGGGGAUCGAACUCAGGUCCUUGCACUUGCACAGCAGGCGGCGAAACCACUGAGCUAAAUCCCUGGCCCCUGUUAAGUGAUUUUUUUCAAGGAAGCUGAUUGUAAGAUGUUGGAUCUAAUCCAGUCUCUAGCAUUGGUAAAUAGUGGUUAAACCGAAAUGAAAGCCAAUUAACUUCAUAACUGUUGCCUGCUUUCAUGUUGCUCUUCUUUGCUUUCCCUUCCCCUCUUUUCUUUUUUACUGAGCACUGCUGUAUGCGACCACACGUCAGGCCAACUCCUGGACAGACAGUGGACGUAGCACACGGUCUCUGCUCCCAUGAGCCCAACAGCUGGAUUGCGGACAUAGCAGAAACAAAAAAAUAAGAAAGACAAAAAAGGGAAAAGAAAACUCUGUGUCCCUAAACAUCACAGGAAAACCUCGUGAGAAGAUAUUUUAGAUCUACAAUGAGCCCCAAAUGUAAAGGUGACUAGAUCACGGAGGCGCUGUACUCAUUAGUGGCUUCACCAUGGAUGAGUUCAUAGCUAAAUGUGCUGUUAGGAAAUGGACCCGGUUGGAAGAGGUGGACUGCUCAGAGACACAUUUCAUGAGGCUCCUCAGAAGUACUGAGCAACGUAGGUCCAAGACUGUGGCCAAUACAUACCCUUCUGUCAACUUCUCUCCCUUCCUUGCCUCAUUUCUCUUAUGUUUCUUUCACUUCUGAGCUUUGAGACCAUUUCCUAAAAAACUGCUUAUAAGUAGGGCUUUUUUCUAAGUUUUACUUCAGGAAACAUUCACAGUGAC